Molecule: long non-coding RNA, 1782 nt
Filed under: Triticum aestivum (bread wheat)
Lineage: Eukaryota; Viridiplantae; Streptophyta; Magnoliopsida; Poales; Poaceae
Description: long non-coding RNA (TAES_LNC013512)
Rfam family: MIR1120/MIR1122 microRNA precursor family (bases 1505-1591)
Source: RNAcentral
GGAAAUUUGAUCAAUCAUGUUAAACUCAACAGUGAAAACAUUUUUACACAAUGCACUAGAGAACAAGUUUAUUUACUUUUGAACUUUUUCUACAAACAGAAAUUUCUCGCAAUAUUUAUUAAUAAUUGAAAUCAAACCGAUACGGAAAUAAGUCCACGUGAAACUCAUAUACCAAGGUAAAUUACCGACGGUCAAGAAGUUGCUUUCGACUUCAAGUUCUUCACUAUAUCAUCCCACCUCAGCAAUGAUCAACACCAUUUAGUAACUUCUUCUGAUUUACCCACCUGUCUCCAUCAGUCCAUAUGGUCCCCGUCUUCUUAUCAUGCUCCUUCACGCCUUGUUGCUGCUGACAAACAAACCACAUGUAAAUACCUUACAGUACAUAAUAUAUUUACAACCGCGCUAUGAAUAGAUAACUCCAAAUGUAGCUUUCAGGAUUGGUCAUGCAUUCUCUGUUGUCAUACCAAGAAUGCAUUUUAUAAUUGCACUCAAACUUGUAACUGUAAACAGUUCAGGUAUAGAAAAAAUAAAAGGCAUAUCACAAUAGCCCAACAUAACUUUUUUUUUCGGUUUGCAGGAUGAAAAACUGCUAAUAUGGUACUCCAAAGAGAGGGAAAAAAGUCUGAGCUUGAGUUCUGUGUCGAGUGUGGUUCUCGGACAGAAAACAGUAUGUGGUUUUCUUCCCCAAACACUUAUUAUUAUGAUUCAAGUACACGAAGGCAUACAUAUUCUUAGAAUGUCUGUAUUUGCAGACAAAUCUUUUGCGCUUGCAUUGGCCAGAAAAGGAACAUCACUCCUUGUCAGUCAUAUACAAGAAUGGUGAAUACUCACUGGACUUGGUAUUUCCUACUAGGCCUGGAAUUCUUGAGUUUAGAAUCUCUUUGUUCCUCGUAUAACUGCCUUUUCUAACAUCUAUUUACAAUCAUGUCUUCCCAGAUCUGCAAAGACAAGGACCAAGCUGACUGCUGGUAUCUAGGCCUAACAGCCUUGGUAUCUGCUCUAUAUAGUCCUCUUCUUUUGGUUGAUUCAACAAGCAGCCGUCGGAUAAACAGUUGCACAAAUAGCCCUCCUAGCUAUAUUCAGCAAAGGAAUAGGCUAUUUUCAGUAGAUGACACAAGAAAGUUCACCCAGGUUGGAACCCAUGCAUGUCAUGAUUUCUAUGUGAGAACAUGAUUACUUUGUUCAAGUAUGAGUUUACCAUGACUUGUGACCUUUCCUAGAUUACGCUUAGUAAAACUUUUGGUUUUCUGUUAAUCAGCGGCCACCCACUGCUCAGCUCAGGAAAUUGCGAAAUUAAUAACCAACAUGUUAGGCAGUGUUACAAUUCUGGCCAUUUUGAUAAAUUAUACUUUCCAAAUAUAUAAAUAAUAAUACAAUCAUUAGGUAACACCCAGACUAAUGUAAUGUCAAGUGGGUAAUGAUACACUUUGUGGAGCUGCAUAUUUUUUCAUAACUACUCCCUCCGUACAUCCGUUUGAGAGUCAAGUAAUUCCAUACAGAGGAUGUACUCCCUCUGUAAACUAAUAUAAGAUGUUUUAGGCCACUAAAAUAGUGAUCUAAAAUGUCUUAUAUUAGUUUACAGAGGGAGUACUAAAUAAGCCGAUACAUCUGAUAGCUUAUGAAAGACUGUAAAUUGCCAUGCCUUAGCCACUAGUAUUUUCAAAUUGUUAUAUUCAAUUGAUAGCUUAUGGAAGUAUCUAUUUGUGAAGGUACACUCACUGUAUGGCAGUCCUAGGUUGAUACAGAACAAAGUAUCGAAGAGCAGUCUGGAUUGCUCAGAAG